Molecule: ribosomal RNA, 482 nt
Filed under: uncultured bacterium
Lineage: Bacteria
Description: partial 16S ribosomal RNA
Rfam family: Bacterial small subunit ribosomal RNA
Source: RNAcentral
AUUGAACGCUGGCGGCAUGCCUUACACAUGCAAGUCGAACGGUAACGGGCCUUCGGGUGCCGACGAGUGGCGAACGGGUGAGUAAUACAUCGGAACGUGCCCGAUCGUGGGGGGUAACGAGGCGAAAGCUUUGCUAAUACCGCAUACGAUCUACGGAUGUAAGCAGGGGACCGCAAGGCCUUGCGCGGACUGAGCGGCCGAUGUCAGAUUAGGUAGUUGGUGGGAUAAAAGCUUACCAAGCCGACGAUCUGUAGCUGGUCUGAGAGGAUGAUCAGCCACACUGGGACUGAGACACGGCCCAGACUCCUACGGGAGGCAGCAGUGGGGAAUUUUGGACAAAGGGCGCAAGCCUGAUCCAGCCAUGCCGCGUGCAGGAUGAAGGCCUUCGGGUUGUAAACUGCUUUUGUACGGAACGAAAAGCCUUCUUUUAAUACAGGAGGGUCAUGACGGUACCGUAAGAAUAAGCACCGGCUAACUACGUG